Long non-coding RNA from Amblyraja radiata (thorny skate), 276 nucleotides. RefSeq lists it as uncharacterized. The transcript is spliced from 3 exons. NCBI's taxonomy places the organism in Eukaryota, Metazoa, Chordata, Chondrichthyes, Rajiformes, Rajidae. The record is from RefSeq and is a predicted model, not a curated record.
CAGAAAGCAGCAUCAUACAGGUAAGAAUGUCCUAUACUGGGGCAUACCACCUCAUAUGUGAAACAUGAUCGUGGGGGUGUUACGGCCUGGGCAUGUAUGGCUGCUGAAGGUACUGGCUCACUUAUCUUCAUUGAUGAUACAACUGCUGAUGAUAAUAGCAUAAUGAAUUCUGAAUUGUAUAGACUCAUCCUAUCUGCUUAAGUUCAAACAAAUGCCUCAAAACUCAUUGGCCUGCGGUUCAUUCUGCAGCAAGACAAUGAUCCCAAACAUACUGCU